CGAGCGAACAGACGAGGAGCUUGCUCCUCUGACGUUAGCGGCGGACGGGUGAGUAACACGUGGAUAACCUACCUAUAAGACUGGGAUAACUUCGGGAAACCGGAGCUAAUACCGGAUAAUAUAUUGAACCGCAUGGUUCAAUAGUGAAAGACGGUUUUGCUGUCACUUAUAGAUGGAUCCGCGCCGCAUUAGCUAGUUGGUAAGGUAACGGCUUACCAAGGCAACGAUGCGUAGCCGACCUGAGAGGGUGAUCGGCCACACUGGAACUGAGACACGGUCCAGACUCCUACGGGAGGCAGCAGUAGGGAAUCUUCCGCAAUGGGCGAAAGCCUGACGGAGCAACGCCGCGUGAGUGAUGAAGGUCUUCGGAUCGUAAAACUCUGUUAUUAGGGAAGAACAAAUGUGUAAGUAACUAUGCACGUCUUGACGGUACCUAAUCAGAAAGCCACGGCUAACUACGUGCCAGCAGCCGCGGUAAUACGUAGGUGGCAAGCGUUAUCCGGAAUUAUUGGGCGUAAAGCGCGCGUAGGCGGUUUUUUAAGUCUGAUGUGAAAGCCCACGGCUCAACCGUGGAGGGUCAUUGGAAACUGGAAAACUUGAGUGCAGAAGAGGAAAGUGGAAUUCCAUGUGUAGCGGUGAAAUGCGCAGAGAUAUGGAGGAACACCAGUGGCGAAGGCGACUUUCUGGUCUGUAACUGACGCUGAUGUGCGAAAGCGUGGGGAUCAAACAGGAUUAGAUACCCUGGUAGUCCACGCCGUAAACGAUGAGUGCUAAGUGUUAGGGGGUUUCCGCCCCUUAGUGCUGCAGCUAACGCAUUAAGCACUCCGCCUGGGGAGUACGACCGCAAGUUG
This 851-nucleotide ribosomal RNA is filed under the name uncultured Staphylococcus sp. Its description in RNAcentral is "bacterial SSU rRNA". It matches the Rfam family "Bacterial small subunit ribosomal RNA", at positions 63 to 896 of the family's 1533-position model. The record is from RNAcentral. Lineage: Bacteria; Bacillati; Bacillota; Bacilli; Caryophanales; Staphylococcaceae.